This 858-nucleotide ribosomal RNA is filed under the name uncultured archaeon. Its description in RNAcentral is "bacterial SSU rRNA". It matches the Rfam family "Archaeal small subunit ribosomal RNA", at positions 42 to 871 of the family's 1478-position model. The record is from RNAcentral.
GAAGAUGCCUCGGAUAGGUUGGAUAUUACAAGAUGAGAAAUUCGCCACGGCGAUCAUAAGAGGGCUUUUAGAUACCGAAGGAUCGGUGAAAAAGAUAUCUAGGACUUUGGGGAUUGUUGUGAAGCAGAGAAACAAGGAUAUCGCUAUGUUCUACGCCCAGUGUAUUUCUCUAUUGGGUUUCACUCCACGAAUAUACCAAUGGAACGAAAAGAACAAGCCUAUCUACGCCGUCGUGGUACUGGGCAAGGAUGUGGUAGAAGACUUCCUCCGGACUAUAAAACCCAGAAAUCCCUCUAAGACCCCCUCUUUUUAGUCUUCCUCUCACGCCGGCCUCCCCCAGCGGAAUGCGGGCAACCGCGACGGGGCUACCCCGAGUGCCGGGCGAAGAGCCCGGCUUUUGCCCGGUCUAAAACGCCGGGAGAAUAAGCGGGGGGCAAGUCUGGUGUCAGCCGCCGCGGUAAUACCAGCUCCGCGAGUGGUCGGGGUGUUUACUGGGCUUAAAGCGCCCGUAGCCGGCCCGGCAAGUCGCUCCUGAAAUCCCAGGGCUCAACCCUGGGGCGGGGGGCGAUACUGCCGGGCUAGGGGGCGGAAGAGGCCGCCGGUACUCCGGGGGUAGGGGCGAAAUCCGUUAAUCCCCGGAGGACCACCAGUGGCGAAAGCGGGCGGCCAGAACGCGCCCGACGGUGAGGGGCGAAAGCCGGGGGAGCAAAGGGGAUUAGAUACCCCUGUAGUCCCGGCCGUAAACGAUGCGGGCUAGCUGUCGGCUGGGCUUAGGGCCCGGCCGGUGGCGAAGGGAAACCGUUAAGCCCGCCGCCUGGGGAGUACGGCCGCAAGGCUGAAACUUAAAGGAAUGGCGGG